This 2253-nucleotide long non-coding RNA is filed under the name Lynx pardinus (Iberian lynx). The record is from RNAcentral. Lineage: Eukaryota; Metazoa; Chordata; Mammalia; Carnivora; Felidae.
GCGCGCGCGGCGGGGGCCACAGCAGCGGACAACCCAGGAGCGCAACUUCGAAGACCGUCCCUACCCUCAGCCUCUGCUCAGACUGUGUUCACUCGUAAGUGCCUGCUUUCCGAAUCAAAGAGAACACGUGAGCCCUUUCGUGAGUCGGGAGAAAGGUAGCAACCUUUAGGGAUGAAGGGAAAGGGACGCAGUUCCAUACCUCUCCCUCUUGCCCAGACAGGUCACGGUCUCCGAAGAUAAGCCGAGGGCUAGGAGCCGUGGGGGUGAGCCACCACUGGAGACUGCUGCGCGCGGUCAGGGAGAUCAGCUCCUAGGUAUGAUUGAAUCCCUCCCUUACGGAGAACACCCACCCUCCACCAAAAAAAAACUUGCUAUCUUCCUGGCCAAGUAUAGUCACAGCUGAUGGCUCACAAUUUGAUGAGGAAUACCCAGGAUAUCCAGUUAGGGGGUGUACCUAUUGAAGAUACAGCAUUUAGGUAUAUUGAAGACCGUAUUUGUAAUAAGGUACAGUUGGGCUUUUGAUUUUUCAAUUACUGAGAAGAUAUUUAUAUUUAUUUGUCUUUUAUUUUUAUAUUUUUACCAUGGAUUGAACGUAUCAGGAGUGUGUGCAGUUAAUGACAUGAUAAUCGUCUUUUCCUCUUUUUUAGGUCUUAAUGGCCUAAAUUGUCAUUAUUGUUUAAUAAAAUGUUGGACAUUAUUUCAUUUACAAUGGGGGAAAAAAGGAGGCAUGGUCAAACGAGAAAACAUAUGUGACAUAAAACACAUGACGGAUAUCUUAUUUUCACUAUUUGAGAUGAAUAUAUUUUAUUUUUAGUACUGUGUCAUAACAUAUAACUUUUUGUAAUAACUAUAGAUUGUGUAGUCUAGGUCUUAAUUGUGUCAUUCACCACAUAGUUAUAUGUAGAAAUGAUUGAUACACGUAUGCCGUACCAUGAAGCAUGAUGUCAUGCACUUUUCCCUCUAUUUUAAAAUACAUUCCACAACAUGAUACAAAACAUAAGAACUUGUGACUUGUGACUUCUCUUCAAAGCCAUAAUUGUGCAAGUAAUGUACUACAGAAGGAUUUAGUCAACCUAUCCUAAGAAAAAAAUAAAUGUCAUUGUAUCAGUUCCACCAUCCUAUGAAAUGUCCUUUAAGCAAAUGGUAAUUUAAAAUAAUAUAUUAAAAUGCAUAUGUAUAAUGUACAUAUGUAUAUUGUCUAUGUACAAUAUACACAUUGUAUACCAUAUAAUUAUUAUACUUUAUGAUUGUCAUGAAAAGUAGGAAACAAAAGGUUUCUCUGCUUGUGGAAAGAUGAGUGUUAUUAAGAAAGAUUUUACACGGGAACCACACAUAUGUACCUAGAAACACUGAUUUUAUGAUCGAAAACUUUGACAGUCCUGAAAUUGUAUUAGAAGAAACUGAUGAUUUGAUUAAUUUGAGAAAUGAUUUAAUUGAGAAAUUAAUGUGAGAAAAUGAUUUAAACUUUUAAAGGCGAAUAGAAAAAGUCUGGCAGUUCUAAGAAAUCUUAAAAUGUCUGAAUUGUAAUAGAACAGAAUGGUUUACUCUAAAGUUCUAAAAGCUAAUGACCCUGUCAUUGAAAUCAUUUGAAGUGUAUUAAAGCAUAGAAAAACAUUAAAAUCUUUCUGUAAAUUGUAUCAGAUGUGUGACUAUAUGGUAUGUAUUAAAAUAUGAAAUGUGUAUCUUUGUUAUUUAUAAGCAGUCUUAAGCUGUGAGUUGGCAAAACAAUGAGUUAAGACUACAUGAAUUGACAAUGGCACAAGAUUUAAUGAAAUCAUAGCAUAUUGAAUAAUUGCGUAUAUUCACGUUAGUCAAACACUAUAAAUCUUAGUUUUACGUGUGGCUAUCAAUACUACCCACCAUUCAAACAAACUGGAAAGUUGCCUUAAUCUUUUAAAUUAUUUAUCCUUUGAGGGUACACUGUUUUAGACACUUCUUCAAAUUCACCAUAUAUGAAACAUCAACAUAAACAUCCAUAUAUAUAUCCAUCCUGUAUGUUGUUGCUAUUACUAACAUCUUGACCUUUGCAACAAAAUCUUGUAAAAAUAUACUUAUAAUAUGAAUCCAGUAUAUUUCCUUUGUAUCAACUAUGGAACAAUUCUCUCCCUAAAAUUCAGAAUGUCUGUAAUGUAACACUAAUCAUGAAGGAGAUUACACUAAAUUUUAAAAUUACAACAAACUACGUUUGGUUUUUUUCCUAGUCAUCACAUAAGCUUUUAUGCACAUCCCUCAUUUAAUAAAAAUGAGUUUGAC